GAAUCCCACAGGCCGUAAACCCAAGGUUUCCAGGGGAAGGUUCGUCCACCCUGGGUUAGUCGGGACCUAAGCUGAGGCCGAAAGGCGUAGGUGAUGGACAACAGGUUGAUAUUCCUGUACUACCGAUAACCGUUUGAGAGAAGGGAUGACACAGUAGGAUAAGCUAAGCACACUGUUGGUUAUGUGUGCCCAAGCAUUGAGGCAGUCAAAGUAGGCAAAUCCGCUUUGAUAAUGCUGGGAUGUGAUGGGGAGCGAAAUUUAGUAGCGAAGUAGCUGAUUUCACACUGUCAAGAAAAGUCUCUAUCGAGGUUAAAGGUACCCGUACCGCAAACCGACACAGGUGGGUGAGGAGAGUAUCCUAAGGCCAGCGAGAGAACUGUUGUUAAGGAACUCGGCAAAAUGACCCCGUAACUUAGGGAUAAGGGGUGCCACCAUCAGGUGGCCGCAGAGAAUAGGCCCAAGCGACUGUUUACCAAAAACAUAGGUUUCUGCUAAGUCGCAAGACGAUGUAUAGGAGCUGACGCCUGCCCGGUGCUGGAAGGUUAAGGGGAUCUGUUAGAGCAAUCGAAGCAGUGAACUUAAGCCCCAGUAAACGGCGGCCGUAACUAUAACGGUCCUAAGGUAGCGAAAUUCCUUGUCGGGUAAGUUCCGACCCGCACGAAAGGCGUAACGAUUUGGGCACUGUCUCAACAACAGACUCGGUGAAAUUGUAAUUCCGGUGAAGAUGCCGGAUACCUGCGACAGGACGGAAAGACCCCAUGGAGCUUUACUGUAGCUUGACAUUGGGUCUUGGUACUACAUGUACAGGAUAGGUGGGAGGCUUUGAAACCAGGACGCCAGUUUUGGCGGAGCCAUCCUUGGGAUACCACCCUUGUAGUACUGGGACUCUAACCAUAGGCCAUGAAUCUGGUCUUGGGACACUGUCAGGUGGGCAGUUUGACUGGGGCGGUCGCCUCCCAAAAGGUAACGGAGGCGCUCAAAGGUUCUCUCAGUACGGUCGGAAAUCGUACGUAGAGUGUAAAGGCAAAAGAGAGCUUGAUUGCAAGACAUACAGGUCGAGCAAGGAUGAAAAUCGGACUUAGUGAUCCGGUGGUUCUGCGUGGAAGGGCCAUCGCUCAACGGAUAAAAGCUACCCUGGGGAUAACAGGCUUAUCUCCCCCAAGAGUCCACAUCGACGGGGAGGUUUGGCACCUCGAUGUCGGCUCAUCACAUCCUGGGGCUGUAGUAGGUCCCAAGGGUUGGGCUGUUCGCCCAUUAAAGUGGUACGCGAGCUGGGUUCAGAACGUCGUGAGACAGUUCGGUCCCUAUCCGUCGCAGGCGUAGGAAAUUUGAGAAGACCUGUCCUUAGUACGAGAGGACCGGGAUGGACG
Molecule: ribosomal RNA, 1370 nt
Filed under: Clostridioides difficile
Lineage: Bacteria; Bacillati; Bacillota; Clostridia; Peptostreptococcales; Peptostreptococcaceae
Description: partial 23S ribosomal RNA
Rfam family: Bacterial large subunit ribosomal RNA
Source: RNAcentral